RNAcentral lists this unclassified non-coding RNA (415 nucleotides) under Hevea brasiliensis (rubber tree). The record is from RNAcentral. Lineage: Eukaryota; Viridiplantae; Streptophyta; Magnoliopsida; Malpighiales; Euphorbiaceae.
AUAAAACCACUGCCAGGAACAAACCCCUUCAUAAUAAUAAUGCAUAACCCAGCAUAGCCCUUCUGUAUAUUUUAGCACAACUUCUUUUCGUACUGCUUCCAUUUCUUCAGGUGUUUUUGCAGAAAAUUUUUCAUCAUAAUACCUCUCUUUCCAUCCGGGCACUCCCAGUUUGACCUUGUCUUCUUCUGGAUUCUCUGAAUUGAAAGUAUCAUUCUUGUCUCGAAGCAACUUGUUUAGUUUUGUUUUCAAUUCUUCCUUGUUUUCAGAAACUUCAGCUUCGACAAUUGCAGCUCCUAUUGUGGCCUCGGAACUCAAACGUGCUAUCUUUCUGGCACGGUCGGCAGCCCUUUUCCUUUUGUUUUUUCGGGUACGGGCAGUCUGUUUAUCAUCAGAAGCGUCAGACUGUUCGGUCUUA